AUACGAGGGGUGCAAGCGUUAAUCGGAAUUACUGGGCGUAAAGCGUUCGUAGGCGGUUUGUUAAGCAAGAUGUGAAAGCCCAGGGCUCAACCUUGGAACUACAUUUUGAACUGGCAAACUAGAGUACUGUAGAGGGUGGUGGAAUUUCCAGUGUAGCGGUGAAAUGCGUAGAGAUUGGAAGGAACAUCAGUGGCGAAGGCGGCCACCUGGACAGAUACUGACGCUGAGGAACGAAAGCGUGGGGAGCGAACAGGAUUAGAAACCCCAGUAGUCC
This 274-nucleotide ribosomal RNA is filed under the name uncultured bacterium. RNAcentral describes it as "partial 16S ribosomal RNA". It matches the Rfam family "Bacterial small subunit ribosomal RNA", at positions 523 to 796 of the family's 1533-position model. The record is from RNAcentral.